Molecule: ribosomal RNA, 490 nt
Filed under: uncultured bacterium
Lineage: Bacteria
Description: partial 16S ribosomal RNA
Rfam family: Bacterial small subunit ribosomal RNA
Source: RNAcentral
AUUGAACGCUGGCGGCAUGCCUUACACAUGCAAGUCGAACGGCAGCAUGAUCUAGCUUGCUCGAUUGAUGGCGAGUGGCGAACGGGUGAGUAAUACAUCGGAACGUGCCCUGUAGUGGGGGAUAACUAGUCGAAAGAUUAGCUAAUACCGCAUACGACCUGAGGGUGAAAGUGGGGGACCGCAAGGCCUCAUGCUAUAGGAGCGGCCGAUGUCUGAUUAGCUAGUUGGUGAGGUAAAGGCUCACCAAGGCGACGAUCAGUAGCUGGUCUGAGAGGACGAUCAGCCGCACUGGGACUGAGACACGGCCCAGACUCCUACGGGAGGCAGCAGUGGGGAAUUUUGGACAAUGGGCGAAAGCCUGAUCCAGCAAUGCCGCGUGUGUGAAGAAGGCCUUCGGGUUGUAAAGCACUUUUGUCCGGAAAGAAAUGGCUCUGGUUAAUACCUGGGGUCGAUGACGGUACCGGAAGAAUAAGGACCGGCUAACUACGUG